Molecule: unclassified non-coding RNA, 329 nt
Filed under: plant metagenome
Description: partial contains 5.8S ribosomal RNA, internal transcribed spacer 2, and large subunit ribosomal RNA
Rfam family: 5.8S ribosomal RNA (bases 1-105)
Source: RNAcentral
GAAAUGCGAUAAGUAAUGUGAAUUGCAGAAUUCCGUGAAUCAUCGAAUCUUUGAACGCACAUUGCGCCCUCUGGUAUUCCGGGGGGCAUGCCUGUCCGAGCGUCAUUGCGAACACCUCAAGCACGGCUUGGGUGAUGGGCCCUCCCGCGUCUUGGUCGUCAAGACGGGCCCGAAAAGCAGUGGCGGCUUCGCGGUUAUCCGAUCAGCCAGAGCGUAUGGGGACUUUCUCUCUGUCACACGCCCGCGGCGCGGACCGACGCCUGUCGACCUUUAUUCAUCUUUUUCUCGGUUGACCUCGGAUCAGGUAGGGAUACCCGCUGAACUUAAGC